GGGAUUGCCCCAGUAACGGCGAGUGAAGCGGCAACAGCUCAAAUUUGAAAUCUGGCCACCGCCCGAGUUGUAAUUUGCAGAGGAUGCUUUUGGCGCGGCGCCCUCCGAGUUCCCUGGAACGGGACGCCGGAGAGGGUGAGAGCCCCGUACGGUGGGACGCCUAGCCUCUGUAAAGCUCCUUCGACGAGUCGAGUAGUUUGGGAAUGCUGCUCAAAACGGGAGGUAUAUGUCUUCUAAAGCUAAAUACCGGCCAGAGACCGAUAGCGCACAAGUAGAGUGAUCGAAAGAUGAAAAGCACUUUGAAAAGAGGGUUAAACAGUACGUGAAAUUGUUGAAAGGGAAGCGCUCGUGACCAGACUCGGCCCCGGCGGAUCAUCCGGCGUUCUCGCCGGUGCACUCCGCCGGCCGGGCCAGCAUCGGUUCGCCCCGCGGGGGAUAAAGGCGCCGGGAACGUGGCUCCAGUGUUAUAGCCCGGCGCGCAAUGCCCCGCGGCGGACCGAGGGCAAGGAUGCUGGCGUAAUGGUCACCAGCGACCCGUCUUGAAACACGGACCAAGGAGUCGUCCUCGUAUGCGAGUGUUCGGGCGUAAAACCCGUACGCGCAAUGAAAGUGAACGUAGGUGGGAGCCUCGGCGCACCAUCGACCGAUCCUGAUGUUCUCGGAUGGAUUUGAGUAAGAGCAUACGGGGCCGGACCCGAAAGAAGGUGAACUAUGCCUGCGUAGGGUGAAGCCAGAGGAAACUCUGGUGGAGGCUCGCAGCGGUUCUGACGUGCAAAUCGAUCGUCAAACGUGGGCAUGGGGNNNAAAGACUAAUCGAAC
This 819-nucleotide ribosomal RNA is filed under the name Hirsutella stilbelliformis var. myrmicarum. RNAcentral's name for it is "LSU rRNA". It matches the Rfam family "Eukaryotic large subunit ribosomal RNA", at positions 71 to 940 of the family's 3401-position model. The record is from RNAcentral. Lineage: Eukaryota; Fungi; Ascomycota; Sordariomycetes; Hypocreales; Ophiocordycipitaceae.